GACGAACGCUGGCGGCGUGCUUAACACAUGCAAGUCGAACGAAGAGCGAUGGAAGCUUGCUUCUAUCAAUCUUAGUGGCGAACGGGUGAGUAACGCGUAAUCAACCUGCCCUUCAGAGGGGGACAACAGUUGGAACCGACUGCUAAUACCGCAUACGAUCUAAUCUCGGCAUCGAGGAUAGAUGAAAGGUGGCCUCUACAUGUAAGCUAUCACUGAAGGAGGGGAUUGCGUCUGAUUAGCUAGUUGGAGGGGUAACGGCCCACCAAGGCGAUGAUCAGUAGCCGGUCUGAGAGGAUGAACGGCCACAUUGGGACUGAGACACGGCCCAGACUCCUACGGGAGGCAGCAGUGGGGAAUCUUCCGCAAUGGACGAAAGUCUGACGGAGCAACGCCGCGUGAGUGAUGACGGCCUUCGGGUUGUAAAGCUCUGUUAAUCGGGACGAAAGGCCUUCUUGCGAAUAGUGAGAAGGAUUGACGGUACCGGAAUAGAAAGCCACGGCUAACUACGUG
This 510-nucleotide ribosomal RNA is filed under the name uncultured bacterium. Its description in RNAcentral is "partial 16S ribosomal RNA". It matches the Rfam family "Bacterial small subunit ribosomal RNA", at positions 28 to 507 of the family's 1533-position model. The record is from RNAcentral.